Molecule: non-coding RNA, 257 nt
Organism: Cinara cedri
Lineage: Eukaryota; Metazoa; Arthropoda; Insecta; Hemiptera; Aphididae
Source: the annotation of a GenBank genome assembly
AAUAAAAUUAUCACUAGGAGCGAGUAACUAAUACAACAAGGGCGAAAGUAACGAAUGAUAAUGGAUGUGUGAGACAGUUGUACGUUUUAAUAUUUGGUAGAAUGGAGCAAACUUUACCGGAUUUGCCAACUGUCAGUGCACUUAACUCUACUGUAGGCGAAACGUUAGAAUUAUAGGAUGUUUAGAGUUUUUUGAUUUAUACCCGAAGGCAACGAUAAAUCAUUACUAAUGAACCACGAUUCUGAGCAAAAUUCAGU